AAAUGCGGAUAAAAUCCCUUGAAGCACUUCUUCUUUCUCCUCGUCGCUCUCCUCUUCUUGCAGGACCCCUAAAAUGUAGGCUCCAUACACCUCGCGGUCCACUUCUAACGAGUCUAGCCGAUCAUUUAACCAGCUUUCAAACUCCCCGGCGUCUGCCACGGGCGCAGCCAUCUUGGCUCUUUGGGGUCUUUUCGGCGGCGCACGGCUGUCUUUUCUCAUUGCCUGUUCAAAAAGCGUUGUACAGAAGAUGACGUCAGUGAUCCAACCUGUGCAACAUGAUGGGUGGGUGGACACCAGGCGAGGGACUAGUCACUAACGGGCUGUGAUUCUGCACUGAACUGGUCACACCAUCGGCCCAGCUGUUUCUCCUGCCUCAAGCAGCAGACGCACAUUCUCCCAGAGGUCCGAGCAGCCCAGCGGUGUCCUGAAGUUACCAGGACUGCGGGAUGUAUUGUGACAGACUUUAAAUGUGAGGAAGAGGAGCCCUUGUCACCCAUCACCUCUGUGAGAUGAAAGGCCCCGAAAGCAGCCAGCCACCCUGCUGGACACAGCUCAGCUGUUAUAAGAAGUGUUUGACAGGAGUGGCAGGCAUUUUCUGGAUUAGAGUGAAGGCAAGGAGGAAGAGGAAAAGGGAGGACAUUGCUGUUCCUCGUCUGCGGGGAUGGGAUCUCAACCGUGGAGUUUGUUUAAAAAAUAAAAAGAGACAAAAAAACUCUUUUACCCUCGGAGGAAGUAUCUUGGUUGACUUGGCAGUAGGACUUAUGGAUGUUAGACAAUGUGUGUCAGCUUGCAGAUUAGUGCUUUCUCCAAUGCCCCUUCUUUUAGGGAAUUCAUGGCGCUGUAGUUUAAAAAAGGGAGAGAUUUUACCUUUUAAAUUUAUUCUUGUGUGUCCCUGCUACUCUCUUUUCAGGUAAACACACUAUCUACCUUUUGGUUCCGCUUAUUCAUAAUAUCCAAAUAUGUUUCAUCAUCCUACAACUGCGUCUUUAAAGAAGCUUUAAUCAAUAUUAUGGAUCUUUUAUGUAAAAUGGUUCCCUUGUAGUGAU
Perca flavescens (yellow perch) is the source of this 1046-nucleotide long non-coding RNA. RefSeq lists it as uncharacterized. The record is from RefSeq and is a predicted model, not a curated record. NCBI's taxonomy places the organism in Eukaryota, Metazoa, Chordata, Actinopteri, Perciformes, Percidae. The transcript is spliced from 5 exons.